UUCUUGUAGUGUCUGAUUUGAACUACAGAAUAUAGGGAGCAGUUUCAUUUAACAAGUUUCAGUUUUUUGUUCAUUGCAUCUGACAUAUUUUUAAGUGUCCCUGUCCUGUUUCACUGACUAUUGUUUUCUCUCAGAUCUAUACUGCAGCUGUAUCAGCAAAAAACUGGAAAUGAGGAUCUCAGCUGACUCCUGUUUUACAUCUUGGAGCUGGAGCAUGUGCUGGAAUAAUUGCCAUGUCCGCAACUUAUCCAAUGGAUAUGGUUCGAGGCAGGAUAACUGUACAGGUUCCAUUGUAGGUCUAAACUUUGCUGUUUAUGAGUCUUUGAAAGAUUGGUUAGUUAAAUCCAAUCCAUUUGGUCUAGUGCAAGAUUCUGAGUUGAGUGUGACAACUCGCCUGGCAUGUGGUGCUGCACCUGGAACUGUUGGGCAAACUGUUGCUUAUCCCCUUUGAAGCACCUUUAGAUUGAAGGUGUGAGUAUCAUUUUAGAGAAGCCAAUCCAUGCAUGUUGUUAGAAUUUUAAUUAUUAUUUUUUUAGGUGUUACAUAUCAUAGCCCAUAUUGUUAACGUGGUUUCUCAGCCUGGGAAAUCGUGGAAUAAUUAUUGAUUACUAGACCAUAUAAUAUUACUCUACUUAACAACAUUAUCUCUUUUAAUGUGAUCAUAAAUGUUCUGAGGAAAUAGAGUGUUCAUGCAGAUGUCUUGAUUAAUUUCCAACACCUAGACUACAUGUGUCAGCUUUCUGUUUCACUUGGGUUUUAGGUUUUUUCAGCACUUAGAUUUGUUUUACAAACCAACUGCUGCUUUCAUCUGCAAUAUCAAAUUCCCUCUUCAGGUGGCUAGCUUUCCAUUUGAUGAUCAUAAUUGCCCACCACUUCAACUGGUUAUCUCUUUCUGUCAUAGUGCAUACUCGUGGUUGAAGUUAGAUAUUGAGAAUGUUGUGGUUGUCCACUGUAAGGCUGGAACGAACAAGGUUGAUGAUUUCUAGUCUUCUAUUAUUCUUGAAGUUCUUUCCAAUUGCUGAGGAGUCAAUGGAUUACUAUAAUAAAAAAUGAUGUGUUGAUGGAAAAGGACUUGUUCUGCCCAGUCAGAUUGGAAGCUGUGAAACAUUUUGAUCCUGGUCCUAGUGUUCCUCACAGCCAUACCAAGCCUUAUGUACGAUCUAAGGGAAGGAAGUUUGAGAGGGCUAGAGGAAGAAAGAACAACAAAGGACUUAGUGUUUAAGUUGUAUUGUUUCUGU
Arachis ipaensis is the source of this 1238-nucleotide non-coding RNA. The record is from RefSeq and is a predicted model, not a curated record. NCBI's taxonomy places the organism in Eukaryota, Viridiplantae, Streptophyta, Magnoliopsida, Fabales, Fabaceae.